RNAcentral lists this unclassified non-coding RNA (240 nucleotides) under soil metagenome. RNAcentral's name for it is "partial contains 5.8S ribosomal RNA, internal transcribed spacer 2, and large subunit ribosomal RNA". The record is from RNAcentral.
AACAUCGCGCACCUGCGGGAACCUGCGGAGGGAUCAUUAGAGAAUUGUACCAAAAAAAAUAUGGACAAUCCAUCCAUAUCCCCACCUUGUGUGCAUCUAUUGAAAUUAUGCUUUGGGAGGUCUCUCUCUUUUUUCGAGAGAGAUUUCAGCCUCCCAAGGUUUUUUUUUUGAACCACUUUUUUAUAUUUCAGUUUCUUACGAAAAAAAAAAUAAAAUAAAAUAAAAUACAACUUUUAACAA